Molecule: non-coding RNA, 76 nt
Organism: Rhamnusium bicolor
Lineage: Eukaryota; Metazoa; Arthropoda; Insecta; Coleoptera; Cerambycidae
Source: the annotation of a GenBank genome assembly
GCCUUAGUGGCCUAGUCUGUAGAGCAUGAGACUCUUAAUCUCAAGGUCGUGGGUUGGAUCCCCACGCUGUGCGCCA